GGGUCCCGAAUUUGGGGCUGGGGGUCCCAAAUUUGGGUCUGGGGGUCCCAAACCAGCCAAAAACCCCAAAUUUGAGUCUGGGGGUGCCAAGUUUGGGUCUGAAAAUCCCAAAUCUGGGUCUGGGGGUGCCAAAUUUGAGUCUGGGGGUCUCGAGUUUCACUCUGGGGGUCCCAAAUGUGGCUCCAGGCACCCCAGACCCCCCCAAUUUGAGUCUGGGGGUUCCAAAUUUGAGUCUGGGGGUCCCAAACCCCCGGAAUUUGAGUCUGGGGUCCCCCGGAGCCGCGAAUUUGAGUCUGGGGGUCCCAAACUCCCCCAAUCUGAGUCUGGGGGUCCCAAACCCCGGGAAUUUGAGUCUGGGGGUCCCAAACCCCUGCAAUCUGAGUCUGGGGGCCCCAAGAGCCGGGAAUUUGAGUCUGGGGGUUCCAAACCCCCCCAAUCUGAGUCUGGGGGUCCCAAACCCGGUUCUAAGCCCCCCAAACCCCGGGAAUUUGAGUCUGGGGUCCCGAGGAGCCGGCAAUCUGAGUCUGGGGGUCCCCGCGGGCGGGAAUUUGAGUCUGGGGGUCCCAAAUUUGAGUCUGGGGGUCCCAAACCCCCCCAAUCUGAGUCUGGGGGUCCCCGGAGCCGGGAAUUUGAGUCUGGGGGUCCCAAGAGCCGGGAAUUUGAGUCUGGGGGUCCCAAACCCCCCCAAUUUGAGUCUGGGGUCCCGAGGAGCCGGGAAUUUGAGUCUGGGGGUCCCAAACCCGGUUCUAAGCCCCCCAAACCCCCGCAAUUUGAGUCUGGGGGCCCCCGGAGCCGGGAAUUUGAGUCUGGGGGUCCCAAACCCCCGCAAUUUGAGUCUGGGGGUCCCCGGGGGCGGGAAUUUGAGUCUGGGGGUCCCAAACCCGGUUCUAAGCCCCCCAAACCCCCCCAAUCUGAGUCUGGGGGUCCGAAAUUUGAGUGGCGGGAAUUUGAGUCGGGGGUCGCGGCGCUGUGCCUGCUGUGCCGCGAGGCCGUGAACCGGGCGC
This 1004-nucleotide long non-coding RNA is filed under the name Cyanistes caeruleus (blue tit). RNAcentral's name for it is "lncRNA (ENSCCEG00000002736.1)". The record is from RNAcentral. Lineage: Eukaryota; Metazoa; Chordata; Aves; Passeriformes; Paridae.